ACAGGAAGAAACAACAGGAACACAUAUAGCUGGAAUGCAGAUGGGAUCUGUGCUACUUACGCUAGCCAUGGGAUGAUUAGAACAAGAUAAGAGACAUGAGGAAGACUUCUUCAAGGAGGUGCUCAAGCCAUGUUUUGGAAAAGAGAACUCAAGGUCUGGCAGGGAGAAAGGAGCAAGAGUAGACUUUGAGUCUUUGCUUCAGAUGCAGAUCAAGAUGUGGCAACCUGUUGUGGAGAACUGGGUCCCUUGAGCCUGUGCUGUCUCUUUUUUUCUGGUGGCUUUGUCAUUUGGAACAAUGCAUAAUGGGCUGGAGGCUGAGAAACUCUGAGCUGAGGGCAAGUAGAGCUGCAGCUGUCUGGCGCCACUGUAAUGCUGUCUCCUCCUCUGAGUGAGUUCAUCCUGGAAACAUUUUCUCCCAUAAGACAUGCACAGGUCUUACGUUUACAUGUUUCACUGAAAGAAAUUUGAUUCCACUGCUGGGAUGACAAGGAAGACUGAAGAAACCUAAUCCUAGGUGCUGCCACUGGG
RNAcentral lists this long non-coding RNA (528 nucleotides) under Homo sapiens (human). Its description in RNAcentral is "non-protein coding LINC02532:44". Lineage: Eukaryota; Metazoa; Chordata; Mammalia; Primates; Hominidae. The record is from RNAcentral.